AUUGAACGCUGGCGGCAUGCCUAACACAUGCAAGUCGAACGGUAACAGGCCCUUGGGUGCUGACGAGUGGCGGAUGGGUGAGUAAUACUUAGGAAUCUACCCUGUAGUGGGGGACGAACCCGGGGAAACGUCGGCGUAAUACCGCAUACGCUCUACGGAGGAAAGCGGGGACCGCAAGGCUCGCGCUAUUGGAUGAGCCUAAGCCCG
Molecule: ribosomal RNA, 207 nt
Filed under: uncultured bacterium
Lineage: Bacteria
Description: partial 16S ribosomal RNA
Rfam family: Bacterial small subunit ribosomal RNA
Source: RNAcentral